CCGGUGGCAGGUAUGGAACCUAUAGGGGGGCCUGUCACCCGGCACGUGCGCCGGGGGCCGGCCGGGCGGGAGGGGAGGAAGGCCGGCGGGCCGGCAGGGGGCCGACCCCGACCCCGACCCCGACCCGACCCGACCAGAUCCGCCCCGGAGCCCGGGCCUGGCCGGCUGGGCCUCGCUCCCAGCGCCCCUGGCAGGGCUGCCUCGGCGAGGAAUCAAAGCUCUCCAGCCAACACCAUGUGACCUUGAGGAUGGAAAACACGUGCUUGGGGAGACAGAAGAAGGCUGAGAGCCUGGUGACUUCAUGGAGCUGCCAAAACAGUUGACUGCUUUACUCUCAAUAAAGUGAGAAAAGAAACCCACCUACGUGAACGACUGGACUUUCUUAUGUGAAGCCAAACUUCGUGGUAACAGAUAAUAGCGACCCUCUGUGAUAACCAGGUGUUUCCUUGUUUCUCAUCUAUACUAUUGCAUGGGGGCAAAUAGUUCUUAAUAAAGAACAGAAAUAACACAGAUUAAAUCUCUGGGGCUAGGGGUUGUUCCUCUGGUAGGACUCUGCACAUAGUGAUAUAGAUCUGGUUGGGCUGUUGUUCUUAAAUUACUGAUUUUAAGUGUUCCUCACAGUGGAGUGGAGUUUCAGAAGCACGUAUUUGGUUGCCUUAGCUUCAGUUUAAAUAUGUGGAGAGCAGUGAGGGAGGCUCCUAAGGACACAGAGGGGAAAACCAGGCAUUGCCUUUGUAAGAUGGACGAAUGGGGAAUUCCCUGGUGGUUCAGUGGCUAGGACUUGACGCUUUCACUGUUGUGGCCUGGGUUCAGUCGUGGUUAGAGACCCAAUGUCCUGCAGGCUGCCCAGCGUGGCAACAAAACAAACAAAACCAAAACACAUUUGGAGCUCGUAAAAAGCUCUGGCACUGAGCUCAGAGAAAGCUGGGUUGAGGCCCUUGGUUCAGUUCCCCUGCCCACCAGCAUGGUGAGCUUGUUAGUGUCAGAUGACCCAUGUAUUUUUUGAUCUCUGAGUCAUCUUAAAAGUCAGUUUAUCAAGGUAUAAUUGACAUACAAUAAACUACAUCCAUUUAUUUUUUAAUUGAUUUUUUGGAGUAUAGUUGAUGUACAAUGUUGUGUUCAUUUCUGCAGUACAGUGAAACGAAUUGGCUAUAUACAUAGAUAUAUCCCCUUUUUUUAGGUCACCAUUGAGCAUUGAGUGGAGUUCUCUGUGCUGUACAAGGUUCUCACU
RNAcentral lists this long non-coding RNA (1231 nucleotides) under Capra hircus (goat). RNAcentral's name for it is "lncRNA (ENSCHIG00010028835.1)". Lineage: Eukaryota; Metazoa; Chordata; Mammalia; Artiodactyla; Bovidae. The record is from RNAcentral.